GAUGAAGAACGUAGCGAAAUGCGAUAAGUAAUGUGAAUUGCAGAAUUCAGUGAAUCAUCGAGUCUUUGAACGCACAUUGCGCCCCCUGGUAUUCCGGGGGGCAUGCCUGUCCGAGCGUCAUUGCUGCCCUCAAGCACGGCUUGUGUGUUGGGCCCCCGUCCCCGGUUUCCCCCGGGGACGGGCCCGAAAGGCAGCGGCGGCACCGCGUCCGGUCCUCGAGCGUAUGGGGCUUUGUCACCCGCUCUGUAGGCCCGGCCGGCGCCAGCCGAGACCCAACUUUAUUUCUAAGGUUGACCUCGGAUCAGGUAGGGAUACCCGCUGAACUUAAGCAUAUCAAUAAGCGGAGGA
This 348-nucleotide unclassified non-coding RNA is filed under the name soil metagenome. Its description in RNAcentral is "partial contains 5.8S ribosomal RNA, internal transcribed spacer 2, and large subunit ribosomal RNA". The stretch from base 1 to 120 matches the Rfam family "5.8S ribosomal RNA", at positions 35 to 154 of the family's 154-position model. The record is from RNAcentral.